GUAGGGGGCCAGCGUUGUCCGGAUUCAUUGGGCGUAAAGAGCGUGUAGGCGGUUCAAUAGGUCCGAUGUGAAAACUCGAGGCUCAACCUCGAGAGGUCGUCGGAAACCAUUGAGCUAGAGUCCGGAAGAGGAGAGUGGAAUUCCUGGUGUAGCGGUGAAAUGCGCAGAUAUCAGGAAGAACACCGAUGGCGAAGGCAGCUCUCUGGGACGGUACUGACGCUGAGACGCGAAAGCGUGGGGGAGCGAACAGGAUUAGAUACCCUGGUAGUCCACGCCGUAAACGAUGGGCACUAGGUGUGGGUGGUGUCGACUCCAUCCGUGCCGCAGCUAACGCAUUAAGUGCCCCCCGCCUGGGAGUACGGCCGCAAGGCUA
This 373-nucleotide ribosomal RNA is filed under the name uncultured organism. Its description in RNAcentral is "partial 16S ribosomal RNA". It matches the Rfam family "Bacterial small subunit ribosomal RNA", at positions 527 to 896 of the family's 1533-position model. The record is from RNAcentral.